This 2570-nucleotide long non-coding RNA is filed under the name Mytilus galloprovincialis (Mediterranean mussel). The record is from RNAcentral. Lineage: Eukaryota; Metazoa; Mollusca; Bivalvia; Mytilida; Mytilidae.
ACCAAACAAUGGUCAUUUCACAAUGUUCAUACAGGAACUAUGAUAAUUCAAUUAGAUUAAAGUUAACAACAUGGUAUAUUUAUCAAUAGCAUUGAGUCAUUAGAAUUAUAAAAUUGAAAAUGGAAAUGGAGAAUGUGUCAAAGAGACAACAAUCCGACCAUAAAACAAACAACAACAGAAGGUCUCCAACAGGUCUUCGAUGUAGCGAGAAAUUCCCGCACCCGGAGGGGUCCUUAAGCUGGCCUCCUAAACAAUUAUAUAUAGUCUAGUUCAGUGAUAGAUAAACUCAUCAUAGAUACCAGGACUAAAUUUAGUAUAUACACCAGACGCGCGUUUCGUCUACAAAAGACUCAUCAGUGAGCAUUGAGAACCAAAAUUUCUAUAAGUUUUGCCAAAUACAGCUAAGGUAAUCUAUGCCUGAGGUAGAAAGUCUUAUAUAAUAUACUUAUUUACAAUAUUUUUAUUAAUGCUUUCACAAUGACAACUCGAAUAAAAUUAACGGUGCCAUUUUUUUUUUGGCACAAGAUGUGCAUUUCGACAAUAAAUGUUUCUUAAAUGAUAACAAAAUCUCAAGCUUAUUAAGAACUGAACAGUUUUUUUAUAAACCUUAAAGAACAAAAAAGUAUAGAAGAGAAAAAGUAGUAUGUACAUGUAGUGAACAGUGAAGAAAUACUAUAAAAGUAUUAGCUCCGAUCAAGAUAUAUAAGCAAAUCGCGGACUUUUCAGCAGACAUUUUGGACUUCAGUUAAAAAGUAUGCAAAAUGAUACUUUUAACGUAAAAUUUCAUAUUCAUAUAUAAUUAAUUGGUAAAUUACAUAUAAACAAUAACAAAAAUGAAUAAAAGAAAUAGCUUAAAUUAUACAUAUUGGCUACAGGACAAAUAUUAAUUCUUCAUAAGAUCAUUUUCAAUUCAAGUAAAUUUUGGCAUAAAAAAGCAAUACAAAAAUGGUCGAGGAAAGUUCAUAAUAACCUUUGAAAAUAUAAAUAAGCUUUAUUAAGAAAAAAAAAGACUCCCUCAAAACAGGUUCCACACUUAAAUUGAUACAACCUAUAUGUAUAGACUUGUCAGCGUUUACGAAACUUACACAACAUACAAAAAUUACACUCACACUAAUAAAUCUUUUUAUUACCCCACACUUUUGAAAACCAAGAUGUUGAGCAAUCAAUUUAUUUGUAAGGCUAAUGCGUCAUUUGAUUCAUAGUAACACACAUAUAAUAUUAAAUGACCAGAUUAUAUUUGAAAAUUGCAUAUCAACAGAAAAUUUAAUGGGUCAUACCGAACAGCAAGCUAUAAAGGGCCUCAAAAAUUUCUAGUGUAAAACGAUUUAAACGGGAAAAACAACGGUCUAAUCUGUAUUAAAAAAAAAAACGGAAAAAGAGAAACACUUACGAAACACAUCAACAAACGACAACAACUGAACAUCAGUUACUUGACUAAUGACAGGUGCAACCGAAUGCAGUGGGUUUAAACGUUUAAAUAUGUACCAGCCUAUACACUUAUCUGAAACAAUACAUUAACAUCACAACAUAGAAAGAAAAACUAUAAAAUAUCAAUUGAAAUAGCUUAACUCAAUCAAAGACAUAUAGACACAAGUGAACAUGUACUAAACGAUUAAAAUUAAUCUUUUACACAAUGUAUAUACAAAAUCAAUAAAAUAAAGGGUGAAUAAAUAAAGGCAACAGAAGUAUACCGCUGUGAGAUGUUAGACGAUUUAAAACUAAAAAUAACAUUGAGCAAAAAGCUUCCAAAUAGAAUAAUGUACACAGAUAAAUGAAAAUAUUUUUUGUAAGAUACAUAUAGUUUUAAUGAAGACGUAUGAAGUGUCAUUGAACUAUCAUGUCGAUUUUUUUUUUUUGAUUUUUUUUGGUUUAUCAUUGUGCUCAAAUUACGUAAUCGUAGAUAAAUGUCUGAUGUGUCAGUUUUUGGUAAACACACAUAUGAAUAAUAACAUCAGUUUACUUGACCAUUAAGUUCAAUUAACGAGGUGUAAAUACAAGACCCCCUCAUAUAUAUUGCUUUAACUAAGAGGAUUACAAUUUCUGUUCAUAGAAAUAGAUUCUUUUUUUGAUAACAAUACACAUUUUUUUUAAUUUAAUUGAAAUAAAAAAAUAUGCUCUUUUCUAUUUUUAUCAUUUUAAAUGCGAUUUGAACAUGUAUAAUUGUAAUACAUCCACUUUGUUCGUUAUUGAUACCAUCUCUAAUUAAAAUUUCUAAGUUGCAUUAUUCCACAUGUAGAAGGGUUAAAUAAAAGGAUGCGUUAUGAAAUUUUGUUUUUAAAUGACAUGCAGAAAGUCAGUAAUGUCAAUUAUUUAUCGAUUUUAAGAUAUUAACCUUUUUUUUUACAUAGACAACCAUAUUUUUUUUAUUUAGUGGAGAGAGAGGUUGGUUUAUGAUAUCAAAAGGCUUUGAACAAACACGUCUGAUACUAGCAUUUCCCCUUUAGAACAAACAAAAUGACUGCCAGUUGAGUCGUCAUACAUAGUUUAGUUGCAAAAGUGGCAAAAUUUGAUAGUGAAUCAUUGUUCGAAUUAACCUGAAUAUGAAUCUUCCUAUUUAUAUAUAUAUAUAU